This 68-nucleotide transfer RNA is filed under the name Acanthocardia tuberculata (tuberculate cockle). RNAcentral's name for it is "tRNA-Ser". Lineage: Eukaryota; Metazoa; Mollusca; Bivalvia; Cardiida; Cardiidae. The record is from RNAcentral.
GGGACGGUCUCUGGUGAGCUAGGCGGAUUUGAACUCUGCCUAGGAGUGUUCAAUUCAUUCUUCGUCUU